This 191-nucleotide unclassified non-coding RNA is filed under the name Glomus sp. RNAcentral describes it as "partial contains 5.8S ribosomal RNA and internal transcribed spacer 2". The stretch from base 1 to 65 matches the Rfam family "5.8S ribosomal RNA", at positions 84 to 154 of the family's 154-position model. Lineage: Eukaryota; Fungi; Glomeromycota; Glomeromycetes; Glomerales; Glomeraceae. The record is from RNAcentral.
GUGAAUCAUCAAAUUUUUGAACGCAAAUUGCACUCUCCUCGGAGAGUAUGCCUGUUUGAGGGUCAGCCUAUAAAAACCGCCCACGUUGCUGUUUCGAGGUGGUGUUCGUCGGAAAUUGGGGCAUCUUAAAUCCUUUGGCUUUAAGCCACCUAAAUUUUUCUUAUUGGUUUCAUUAACGAUGUCUAGAAUUA